UACGGGAGGCAGCAGUGGGGAAUAUUGCACAAUGGGCGAAAGCCUGAUGCAGCUAUGCCGCGUGUAUGAAGAAGGCCUUAGGGUUGUAAAGUACUUUCAUCGGGGAGGAAAAACAAAACUAAUAAUUUUAUUUCUUGACGUUACCCGAAAAAGAAGCACCGGCUAACUCCGUGCCAGCAGCCGCGGUAAUACGGAGGGUGCUAGCGUUAAUCAGAAUUACUGGGCGUAAAGAGCACGUAGGUGGUUUUUUUAAGUCAGAUGUGAAUCCCUGGGCUUAACCUAGGAACUGCAUUUUGAAACUGAAAUACUAGAGUAUCGUAGAGGGAGGUAGAAUUCUAGGUGUAGCGGUGAAAUGCGUAGAUAUCUGGAGGAUACCUGUGGCGAAAGCGGCCUCCUAAACGAAUACUGACACUGAGGUGCGAAAGCGUGGGGAGCAAACAGGGAUUAGAUACC
RNAcentral lists this ribosomal RNA (453 nucleotides) under uncultured bacterium. RNAcentral's name for it is "bacterial SSU rRNA". It matches the Rfam family "Bacterial small subunit ribosomal RNA", at positions 340 to 786 of the family's 1533-position model. The record is from RNAcentral.